UCCUUGUACUUGCAAAAAUUAAUACUACUCAGUUACAAAAUUUAACAAUUAGCAACACAGUAAUAUAAGAUUAACUAUAAAUUAUAUGCAGAUAUUAUUAGUAUAUAUUAUAUUUUUUUAAAUCAUUAAUAAUGUUGUUAUUAGUAUUGUAAUAAACCUUUUAAAGGAACUCGGCAACUACAUAUUCAACUGUUUAUCAAAAACAUAACUAUAUGUUAUUAUAUAUAGCAUCUCCUGCUCAAUGGUAUACUAAAUAGCCGCAGUACAUUGACUGUGCAAAGGUAGCAUAAUCAGUUGGCCUAUAAUUGAGGUCUGGCAUGAAUGGAUUUACUGGAUGUGUGCUGUCUUAAUAGGUUAAUAUAAUUUACUUAUUAAGUGUAAAUACUUAAACAUAAAUAAUAGACGAUAAGACCCUAGAAAUUUUUUACAAAACAUACACUUGUUACUAUUUUGCUGGGGCGGCAGAACAACAUAAAACUUGUUUACAGUAAUAUAACGUUAACUAAAUAAACAUAAUUACUCUAGGGAUAACAGCAUAAUUUAUUAUAGUUUGUGACCUCGAUGUUGGACUAAGGUUUAUAUUGUUUAGAAGACAAUUAUAUUAGCUCUGUUCGAGCAUAAAUUCUUACAUGAUCUGAGUUCAGACC
This 647-nucleotide ribosomal RNA is filed under the name Oestophora barrelsi. RNAcentral's name for it is "partial large subunit ribosomal RNA". The record is from RNAcentral. Lineage: Eukaryota; Metazoa; Mollusca; Gastropoda; Stylommatophora; Trissexodontidae.